Molecule: ribosomal RNA, 418 nt
Filed under: uncultured Glomus
Lineage: Eukaryota; Fungi; Glomeromycota; Glomeromycetes; Glomerales; Glomeraceae
Description: SSU rRNA
Rfam family: Eukaryotic small subunit ribosomal RNA
Source: RNAcentral
CACGGGGGUUGGAGGGCAAGUCUGGUGCCAGCAGCCGCGGUAAUUCCAGCUCCAAUAGCGUAUAUUAAAGUUGUUGCAGUUAAAAAGCUCGUAGUUGAAUUUCGGGAUCAGUAGGUCGGUCAUGCCUAUGGUAUGUACUGGUUUUACUGGUUCCUCCUUCUUGAUGAUCUGUAAUGUCAUUAAUUUGGUGUUGCAGGGAGUCAGGACUGUUACUUUGAAAAAAUUAGAGUGUUUAAAGCAGGCAUACGCUUGAAUACAUUAGCAUGGAAUAAUGAAAUAGGACGUUCGAUCCUAUUUUGUUGGUUUCUAGGAUUGACGUAAUGAUUAAUAGGGAUAGUUGGGGGCAUUAGUAUUCAAUUGUCAGAGGUGAAAUUCUUGGAUUUAUUGAAGACUAACUACUGCGAAAGCAUUUGCCAAG